Molecule: ribosomal RNA, 408 nt
Filed under: Priestia aryabhattai
Lineage: Bacteria; Bacillati; Bacillota; Bacilli; Caryophanales; Bacillaceae
Description: bacterial SSU rRNA
Rfam family: Bacterial small subunit ribosomal RNA
Source: RNAcentral
GUGAGUAACACGUGGGCAACCUGCCUGUAAGACUGGGAUAACUUCGGGAAACCGAAGCUAAUACCGGAUAGGAUCUUCUCCUUCAUGGGAGAUGAUUGAAAGAUGGUUUCGGCUAUCACUUACAGAUGGGCCCGCGGUGCAUUAGCUAGUUGGUGAGGUAACGGCUCACCAAGGCAACGAUGCAUAGCCGACCUGGAGGGUGAUCGGCCACACUGGGACUGAGCAGCGCCCAGACUCCUACGGGAGGCAGCAGUAGGGAAUCUUCCGCAAUGGACGAAAGUCUGACGGAGCAACGCCGCGUGAGUGAUGAAGGCUUUCGGGUCGUAAAACUCUGUUGUUAGGGAAGAACAAGUACGAGGUAACUGCUCGUACCUUGACGGUACCUAACCAGAAAGCCACGGCUAACUA